This 2989-nucleotide ribosomal RNA is filed under the name Salmonella enterica subsp. enterica. RNAcentral's name for it is "bacterial LSU rRNA". It matches the Rfam family "Bacterial large subunit ribosomal RNA". The record is from RNAcentral. Lineage: Bacteria; Pseudomonadati; Pseudomonadota; Gammaproteobacteria; Enterobacterales; Enterobacteriaceae. RNAcentral also lists the same sequence under 1 other name.
UUAAGCGACUAAGCGUACACGGUGGAUGCCCUGGCAGUCAGAGGCGAUGAAGGGCGUGCUAAUCUGCGAUAAGCGCCGGUAAGGUGAUAUGAACCGUUAUAACCGGCGAUACCCGAAUGGGGAAACCCAGUGUGAUUCGUCACACUAUCAUUAACUGAAUCCAUAGGUUAAUGAGGCGAACCGGGGGAACUGAAACAUCUAAGUACCCCGAGGAAAAGAAAUCAACCGAGAUUCCCCCAGUAGCGGCGAGCGAACGGGGAGGAGCCCAGAGCCUGAAUCAGCAUGUGUGUUAGUGGAAGCGUCUGGAAAGGUGCGCGAUACAGGGUGACAGCCCCGUACACAAAAGCGCAUGUGCUGUGAGCUCGAUGAGUAGGGCGGGACACGUGGUAUCCUGUCUGAAUAUGGGGGGACCAUCCUCCAAGGCUAAAUACUCCUGACUGACCGAUAGUGAACCAGUACCGUGAGGGAAAGGCGAAAAGAACCCCGGCGAGGGGAGUGAAAAAGAACCUGAAACCGUGUACGUACAAGCAGUGGGAGCACAGGUUUACCUGUGUGACUGCGUACCUUUUGUAUAAUGGGUCAGCGACUUAUAUUCUGUAGCAAGGUUAACCGUAUAGGGGAGCCGGAGGGAAACCGAGUCUUAAUUGGGCGUUAAGUUGCAGGGUAUAGACCCGAAACCCGGUGAUCUAGCCAUGGGCAGGUUGAAGGUUGGGUAACACUAACUGGAGGACCGAACCGACUAAUGUUGAAAAAUUAGCGGAUGACCUGUGGCUGGGGGUGAAAGGCCAAUCAAACCGGGAGAUAGCUGGUUCUCCCCGAAAGCUAUUUAGGUAGCGCCUCGUGAAUUCAUCUCCGGGGGUAGAGCACUGUUUCGGCUAGGGGGCCAUCCCGGCUUACCAACCCGAUGCAAACUGCGAAUACCGGAGAAUGUUAUCACGGGAGACACACGGCGGGUGCUAACGUCCGUCGUGAAGAGGGAAACAACCCAGACCGCCAGCUAAGGUCCCAAAGUCAUGGUUAAGUGGGAAACGAUGUGGGAAGGCCCAGACAGCCAGGAUGUUGGCUUAGAAGCAGCCAUCAUUUAAAGAAAGCGUAAUAGCUCACUGGUCGAGUCGGCCUGCGCGGAAGAUGUAACGGGGCUAAACCAUGCACCGAAGCUGCGGCAGCGAACGUAUCACCCAAGACAACUUUACGGAGUUGACGAUUGACGGAGCGAAGCGACGUCAAAGCGUUCAUUAAAGUCGAGUUGGCUUAGGGAUACGUUCGUUGGGUAGGGGAGCGUUCUGUAAGCCUGUGAAGGUGUGUCGUGAGGCAUGCUGGAGGUAUCAGAAGUGCGAAUGCUGACAUAAGUAACGAUAAAGCGGGUGAAAAGCCCGCUCGCCGGAAGACCAAGGGUUCCUGUCCAACGUUAAUCGGGGCAGGGUGAGUCGACCCCUAAGGCGAGGCCGAAAGGCGUAGUCGAUGGGAAACGGGUUAAUAUUCCCGUACUUGGUGUUACUGCGAAGGGGGGACGGAGAAGGCUAUGUUGGCCGGGCGACGGUUGUCCCGGUUUAAGCGUGUAGGUGUGUGUUCCAGGUAAAUCCGGUUCACUUUAACACUGAGGCGUGACGACGAGGCACUACGGUGCUGAAGCAACAAAUGCCCUGCUUCCAGGAAAAGCCUCUAAGCAUCAGGUAACAUCAAAUCGUACCCCAAACCGACACAGGUGGUCAGGUAGAGAAUACCAAGGCGCUUGAGAGAACUCGGGUGAAGGAACUAGGCAAAAUGGUGCCGUAACUUCGGGAGAAGGCACGCUGACACGUAGGUGAAGUGAUUUACUCAUGGAGCUGAAGUCAGUCGAAGAUACCAGCUGGCUGCAACUGUUUAUUAAAAACACAGCACUGUGCAAACACGAAAGUGGACGUAUACGGUGUGACGCCUGCCCGGUGCCGGAAGGUUAAUUGAUGGGGUCAGCGUAAGCGAAGCUCCUGAUCGAAGCCCCGGUAAACGGCGGCCGUAACUAUAACGGUCCUAAGGUAGCGAAAUUCCUUGUCGGGUAAGUUCCGACCUGCACGAAUGGCGUAAUGAUGGCCAGGCUGUCUCCAUCCGAGACUCAGUGAAAUUGAACUCGCUGUGAAGAUGCAGUGUACCCGCGGCAAGACGGAAAGACCCCGUGAACCUUUACUAUAGCUUGACACUGAACAUUGAGCCUUGAUGUGUAGGAUAGGUGGGAGGCUUUGAAGUGUGGACGCCAGUCUGCAUGGAGCCGACCUUGAAAUACCACCCUUUAAUGUUUGAUGUUCUAACGUGGACCCGUAAUCCGGGUUGCGGACAGUGUCUGGUGGGUAGUUUGACUGGGGCGGUCUCCUCCUAAAGAGUAACGGAGGAGCACGAAGGUUGGCUAAUCCUGGUCGGACAUCAGGAGGUUAGUGCAAUGGCAUAAGCCAGCUUGACUGCGAGCGUGACGGCGCGAGCAGGUGCGAAAGCAGGUCAUAGUGAUCCGGUGGUUCUGAAUGGAAGGGCCAUCGCUCAACGGAUAAAAGGUACUCCGGGGAUAACAGGCUGAUACCGCCCAAGAGUUCAUAUCGACGGCGGUGUUUGGCACCUCGAUGUCGGCUCAUCACAUCCUGGGGCUGAAGUAGGUCCCAAGGGUAUGGCUGUUCGCCAUUUAAAGUGGUACGCGAGCUGGGUUUAGAACGUCGUGAGACAGUUCGGUCCCUAUCUGCCGUGGGCGCUGGAGAACUGAGGGGGGCUGCUCCUAGUACGAGAGGACCGGAGUGGACGCAUCACUGGUGUUCGGGUUGUCAUGCCAAUGGCACUGCCCGGUAGCUAAAUGCGGAAGAGAUAAGUGCUGAAAGCAUCUAAGCACGAAACUUGCCCCGAGAUGAGUUCUCCCUGAGACUUAGAGUCUCCUGAAGGAACGUUGAAGACGACGACGUUGAUAGGCCGGGUGUGUAAGCGCAGCGAUGCGUUGAGCUAACCGGUACUAAUGAACCGUGAGGCUUAACCU